UUCCGUCCUAAGCGGGCCGUAUAGGAGCGAGGCAGUAGCAGCUCAGGCACUUGCAGUUCCUUCUUCGUUCCUUCCUCAUUCUUCCUCCUUCGGAUCUGCGACGAACGUACAGCGGUGAUGGACUGCAGCAGCGGUGCGACAACAUUCUUCGUCUUUCGAGCUUCAGAUCUCCUCGUCGCGGCGGCUGUUUCAGAUUCAAAACCUGCUUUAGAUCCUCUAGAUCUAGCGUGAGGGCCGACGACAGCUUCAGUUUCGACCAACACAUCAAGGAUGGCGUGUUCUACAUCAAGCAGCGGCUUCAGAUCCUCGUCACAGCGGCAGCAGCGGCGUUACUGCCCUAAUCAGUACCUCCUUCCGGUGAUCAUUCUUUGUUGUGAAGAUUUCCCUUGUUUUUGUUCAUUUAUGUACUUUUUGAAAUGAAAAUUUAUUGAAAAUCCUAGGGUUUAAGGUUGACGAGCAGAUUAGUAGAUUUUGUUUCUAGGUUGACUUUGGGGCAUUUGAUGGCUUAUCUGUUGAGCAGCCUGCAUCUGGGUAUUACGCCAUAGGCAGCAAGCAGGUCGAACGUGUUGUGGAAUAGCAGCUGCCGAAGGGGAACACAUGCAAGCCAAUUUGCUAUUGUCCCUGAAGUGCUUUUUAUUUCCAGAACAGAUGUCGUACCUAGUGUCGUUUCAAGGUUGUUUUCAGCCUCACAAAGCUUAAAGAUUGCAUGUGCAUUACAUUCCCCUGCACUUGAGCAAGAUGCCACCUCUGUUUCCAAUAAUAAUCACAAAGGGAAACUGUUGAAAUUGCUAGUAUUGAAGGUGAGCAGGUCUUUAGUAAGGAUGGCAGGACCACGAUGCCUAGGAAGGUGCUGUUUAAAAAUACCUUAAUGAAUGUAACUUAUGCAUGGAAAUAGAUCAUUGAACUCCGUCUUACUGGUAGGAUUGUUGCUUUACUUUUUUUUUUUCAUUCUAUUUUAUUCUAUUGGUAGGCUGUGAUCACUUUUAAAUUUUUAAAAUUUGUCAUUUUGUGAUGUUAAUAUUUUUGCUGAAGAGGAACAAGAGGGUGUGCCUAGAUCUAUCU
Molecule: long non-coding RNA, 1062 nt
Organism: Ipomoea nil (Japanese morning glory)
Lineage: Eukaryota; Viridiplantae; Streptophyta; Magnoliopsida; Solanales; Convolvulaceae
Exons: 3
Source: RefSeq, a predicted model, not a curated record